This 575-nucleotide small RNA is filed under the name Pongo abelii (Sumatran orangutan). RNAcentral describes it as "processed transcript". The record is from RNAcentral. Lineage: Eukaryota; Metazoa; Chordata; Mammalia; Primates; Hominidae.
GAAGGACGGGGGAGGACGGCUGCUUCCGGCGCCAUAACUGCUGCCAUCUUUACGCUAUGGCUGCGUUCAGCCGUCAGGGAAAUUAAAGAGGGUGCUUUACUGUUGCCCCGAAAUUUUCACCAUGCGUCAGCAGGACAUUAAUGACACUGUCAGGCUUCUCAAGGAGAAGUGCCUUUUCACGGUACAGCAAGUCACCAAGAUUUUGCACAGUUGCCCCUCUGUUCUUCGAGAGGACCUGGGUCAACUGGAAUACAAGUUUCAGCCUCUUCUUAGAGCAUGACUGCAAAGAAAAAGACUUUUGUUUUGCAAAAGAAAAGCAGCUCGGUGACUCCCUCCACAUCGCCACAGUUGAGUCAGACAGCAGUGGCAGUCGUUUGCCAGCGGAAGGAGUUCCUGCUAAGGGGAGGUGCAGGAGAACUAAUUUAUUAUUGUGCAACUGCCAGUCCUGCACAUUCCAAUUAUGGUAAGUGCUCUGCACAGGCAUGUAACAAAACAUAGACCUGUUUUGAAGUGGCUUGUUACCCAAGGGUGCCUCACUCUCAUCUGCACCAACAGGAAGAUGAACUGUGAAGCCU